UAGGAAGAUAUGUCUACAAAAAGAGAUGGUGUAUAUGAAGCACAGUUCAGUUCCAAUAUUUUAUGAAAAUUAAUUUUGAAGUAAACUCACCUCAGCAACAAGAAAAUCUUGCACUUUCUCUCCAUAAAGUCUGACGCAUAGUGAAAAGGAAUGAUUACGGCAUGAAUUUGAUGCUGAGAUUGCAUCCAUGAACCAUCCUCAUUCUGGGAUGUUUCAGUUGAA
Molecule: long non-coding RNA, 222 nt
Organism: Frankliniella occidentalis (western flower thrips)
Lineage: Eukaryota; Metazoa; Arthropoda; Insecta; Thysanoptera; Thripidae
Exons: 2
Source: RefSeq, a predicted model, not a curated record